RNAcentral lists this transfer RNA (75 nucleotides) under Parcubacteria group bacterium CG2_30_36_38. Its description in RNAcentral is "tRNA-Asp". It matches the Rfam family "tRNA". From Rfam's summary of the family: Transfer RNA (tRNA) molecules are approximately 80 nucleotides in length. Their secondary structure includes four short double-helical elements and three loops (D, anti-codon, and T loops). RNAcentral also lists the same sequence under 4 other names. The record is from RNAcentral.
GCAGCGGUAGCUUAGCUGGCUCAAAGCGCUGCCCUGUCACGGCAGAGAUCACGGGUUCGAAUCCCGUCCGCUGCG